This 73-nucleotide transfer RNA is filed under the name Acidobacteriota bacterium. Its description in RNAcentral is "Acidobacteria bacterium tRNA-Phe". It matches the Rfam family "tRNA". Rfam says of the family: Transfer RNA (tRNA) molecules are approximately 80 nucleotides in length. The record is from RNAcentral. Lineage: Bacteria; Pseudomonadati; Acidobacteriota. RNAcentral also lists the same sequence under 3 other names.
GGUCAGGUAGCUCAGUUGGCAGAGCACCGCUCUGAAAAAGCGGGGGUCGGCGGUUCAAGUCCGCCCCUGACCA